Molecule: ribosomal RNA, 535 nt
Filed under: Salmonella enterica subsp. enterica serovar Infantis
Lineage: Bacteria; Pseudomonadati; Pseudomonadota; Gammaproteobacteria; Enterobacterales; Enterobacteriaceae
Also listed under: 16 other names
Description: partial 23S ribosomal RNA
Rfam family: Bacterial large subunit ribosomal RNA
Source: RNAcentral
AUAGGGGAGCCGGAGGGAAACCGAGUCUUAAUUGGGCGUUAAGUUGCAGGGUAUAGACCCGAAACCCGGUGAUCUAGCCAUGGGCAGGUUGAAGGUUGGGUAACACUAACUGGAGGACCGAACCGACUAAUGUUGAAAAAUUAGCGGAUGACCUGUGGCUGGGGGUGAAAGGCCAAUCAAACCGGGAGAUAGCUGGUUCUCCCCGAAAGCUAUUUAGGUAGCGCCUCGUGAAUUCAUCUCCGGGGGUAGAGCACUGUUUCGGCUAGGGGGCCAUCCCGGCUUACCAACCCGAUGCAAACUGCGAAUACCGGAGAAUGUUAUCACGGGAGACACACGGCGGGUGCUAACGUCCGUCGUGAAGAGGGAAACAACCCAGACCGCCAGCUAAGGUCCCAAAGUCAUGGUUAAGUGGGAAACGAUGUGGGAAGGCCCAGACAGCCAGGAUGUUGGCUUAGAAGCAGCCAUCAUUUAAAGAAAGCGUAAUAGCUCACUGGUCGAGUCGGCCUGCGCGGAAGAUGUAACGGGGCUAAACCAU